RNAcentral lists this ribosomal RNA (571 nucleotides) under Phoma sp. OTU3 TS-2013. RNAcentral describes it as "eukaryotic LSU rRNA". It matches the Rfam family "Eukaryotic large subunit ribosomal RNA", at positions 62 to 648 of the family's 3401-position model. Lineage: Eukaryota; Fungi; Ascomycota; Dothideomycetes; Pleosporales; Didymellaceae. The record is from RNAcentral.
AAACCAACAGGGAUUGCCCUAGUAACGGCGAGUGAAGCGGCAACAGCUCAAAUUUGAAAUCUGGCUCUUUUAGGGUCCGAGUUGUAAUUUGCAGAGGGCGCUUUGGCGUUGGCAGCGGUCCAAGUUCUUUGGAACAGGACGUCACAGAGGGUGAGAAUCCCGUACGUGGUCNCUAUCCUUCGCCGUGUAAAGCCCCUUCGACGAGUCGAGUUGUUUGGGAAUGCAGCUCUAAAUGGGAGGUAAAUUUCUUCUAAAGCUAAAUACUGGCCAGAGACCGAUAGCGCACAAGUAGAGUGAUCGAAAGAUGAAAAGCACUUUGGAAAGAGAGUCAAAUAGCACGUGAAAUUGUUGAAAGGGAAGCGCUUGCAGCCAGACUUGCCUGUAGUUGCUUAUCCGGACUUUUGUCCGGUGCACUCUUCUGCGGGCAGGCCAGCAUCAGUUUGGGCAGUUGGAUAAAGGUCUCUGUCAUGUACCUCUCUUCGGGGAGGCCUUAUAGGGGAGACGACAUGCAACUAGCCUGGACUGAGGUCCGCGCAUCUGCUAGGAUGCUGGCGUAAUGGCUGUAAGCGGC